AGUUUGAUCCUGGCUCAGGAUGAACGCUAGCUACAGGCUUAACACAUGCAAGUCGAGGGGAAACGACAUCGAAAGCUUGCUUUUGAUGGGCGUCGACCGGCGCACGGGUGAGUAACGCGUAUCCAACCUGCCCACCACUUGGGGAUAACCUUGCGAAAGUAAGACUAAUACCCAAUGACGUCUCUAGAAGACAUCUGAAGGAGAUUAAAGAUUUAUCGGUGAUGGAUGGGGAUGCGUCUGAUUAGCUUGUUGGCGGGGUAACGGCCCACCAAGGCGACGAUCAGUAGGGGCUCUGAGAGGAAGGUCCCCCACAUUGGAACUGAGACACGGUCCAAACUCCUACGGGAGGCAGCAGUGAGGAAUAUUGGUCAAUGGACGAGAGUCUGAACCAGCCAAGUAGCGUGCAGGAUGACGGCCCUAUGGGUUGUAAACUGCUUUUAUAAGGGAAUAAAGUGAGUCUCGUGAGACUUUUUGCAUGUACCUUAUGAAUAAGGACCGGCUAAUUCCGUGCCAGCAGCCGCGGUAAUACGGAAGGUCCGGGCGUUAUCCGGAUUUAUUGGGUUUAAAGGGAGCGUAGGCCGGAGAUUAAGCGUGUUGUGAAAUGUAGACGCUCAACGUCUGCACUGCAGCGCGAACUGGUUUCCUUGAGUACGCACAAAGUGGGCGGAAUUCGUGGUGUAGCGGUGAAAUGCUUAGAUAUCACGAAGAACUCCGAUUGCGAAGGCAGCUCACUGGAGCGCAACUGACGCUGAAGCUCGAAAGUGCGGGUAUCGAACAGGAUUAGAUACCCUGGUAGUCCGCACGGUAAACGAUGGAUGCCCGCUGUUGGUCUGAAUAGGUCAGCGGCCAAGCGAAAGCAUUAAGCAUCCCACCUGGGGAGUACGCCGGCAACGGUGAAACUCAAAGGAAUUGACG
This 915-nucleotide ribosomal RNA is filed under the name uncultured bacterium. RNAcentral's name for it is "bacterial SSU rRNA". It matches the Rfam family "Bacterial small subunit ribosomal RNA", at positions 10 to 915 of the family's 1533-position model. The record is from RNAcentral.